UGGCUUCAUCGUGUAUGAUACGAGCGGGAAUCUCAUCUUCAGAGUAGAUGAGAUUUUCUCUCGUAUCGUACACAGUGAAGCUA
This 83-nucleotide microRNA precursor is filed under the name Picea abies (Norway spruce). RNAcentral describes it as "miR11583b stem-loop (pab-MIR11583b)". The record is from miRBase by way of RNAcentral. Lineage: Eukaryota; Viridiplantae; Streptophyta; Pinopsida; Pinales; Pinaceae.